RNAcentral lists this transfer RNA (124 nucleotides) under Apiotrichum porosum. Its description in RNAcentral is "tRNA-Pro". It matches the Rfam family "tRNA". Rfam says of the family: Transfer RNA (tRNA) molecules are approximately 80 nucleotides in length. Their secondary structure includes four short double-helical elements and three loops (D, anti-codon, and T loops). Lineage: Eukaryota; Fungi; Basidiomycota; Tremellomycetes; Trichosporonales; Trichosporonaceae. The record is from RNAcentral.
GCUCUCGUGGUGUAGUGGCUAUCAUACUUUCUUAGGGUCCAGUCCUGGUCUCUAAUCCAAUUCGGAUUCGUUCUCCGUUCUCUAGCUAUGGAAGUGGUCCUGGGUUCAAAUCCCGGCGAGGGCC